UGGGGAAUUUUGGACAAUGGGCGAAAGCCUGAUCCAGCAAUGCCGCGUGAGUGAAGAAGGCCUUCGGGUUGUAAAGCUCUUUUGUCAGGGAAGAAACGGUGAGGGCUAAUAUCCCUUGCUAAUGACGGUACCUGAAGAAUAAGCACCGGCUAACUACGUGCCAGCAGCCGCGGUAAUACGUAGGGGGCAAGCGUUAAUCGGAAUUACUGGGCGUAAAGCGUGCGCAGGCGGUUUUGUAAGUCUGAUGUGAAAUCCCCGGGCUCAACCUGGGAAUUGCAUUGGAGACUGCAAGGCUAGAAUCUGGCAGAGGGGGGUAGAAUUCCACGUGUAGCAGUGAAAUGCGUAGAUAUGUGGAGGAACACCGAUGGCGAAGGCAGCCCCCUGGGUCAAGAUUGACGCUCAUGCACGAAAGCGUGGGGAGCAAACA
Molecule: ribosomal RNA, 427 nt
Filed under: uncultured bacterium
Lineage: Bacteria
Description: partial 16S ribosomal RNA
Rfam family: Bacterial small subunit ribosomal RNA
Source: RNAcentral